CUAUGACUCAUAAUUCACCCCCUUGUGUUAAGCAAGAACUUUUCCCAUGUGAGUGUUUAUAAAUUACAGUGUCUGGAAAGAUAACUUGACAAGUUAUCUUGACACACCUUAAAGCCAUACAUAGAAGCCAGGAUAGAUCAAGAAAAGGUGCACUGGGUUCUCUCUGCCCUUUCACAAAGGAAGUGACUCAAGAUACCUGAUAUACUCUCAACCCUCAGAAAAUGAACCUCUUUCCAUUCACUUGAUCCCACCAGUCACAAAGCACUGACUCUGUCAUGCACCAGAGGGGCAACAUGAAUAAGAAGUGUUUACACUCUGAAGGAGCCGACCCAACCAAAGUGAGAGAUUCAGACAUGGAACAGAACCCCAAGUCAUCAUGUAAAGAAGUCCAGGCUACCCUGAUAGAGAAGCCAAGAAGAGAGAAUCAAGAUGCCCCAGCCAAAAACCAGCACCAACAGGUUAAAAGGAACCCUCCACUGUCUUAAAGGUUGAAUGCAGCUACCUGAGUGAGUCUAGGCAAGACCAUCAGACCUGCUGGCCAAUCCACAGGAUCACAAGGAAUAAUAAAUAGUUAUUGUUUCAGACGUCCACAUGUGUCAUUGUGUGAGGUUGUUGGAGAAAACAUGUCGCAGCUGGGUACAUUCAUGAUGACCAGUUCAACAUGGGGCAAGGCUCGGCGUCUGCUGCUGGAGGCAUCCUCUGCUUUCAUAGCAUAAUCUUCAUGCAAUCACCAGUGAAGAGGGACUCGCAGCAUCAUAUGGUGAUAGUUUAAGUGCUUAAGAUAAUUUAUGUGUGAUUCUUAAUUGGUAUUUUGGGUCGUUUUUAUGGAGGUGAAAUUUGCAUAUAAUGAAAUGCACAGAUCUUAACAGUAUAAUUGAUUAUUUUGACAAAUGUACACAGGCCUGUGGAAACAAUCCCCAAAUUAAGUAGAGAACAUUUCUGUCACCCUAGAAAUUUCGCUCAUGCCCUCCAAUCAAGCCAUACCUCCACAGUCCUGAUUUCUAUUAUGGUAAAUUAGGUGGGUUUUUUUUCUUUUCUUGAACUACAUUUAGAAGGAAUCACACAAUAUAUACUUGUUUGUGUCUGCCUUCUUUCAUUCAACAUGUUUUUGAGACCCACCUAUGUUCUUACAUAGAUCCAUAUACAUCCUUUUUCAUUUCUGAGUAGUAUUCCAUUACGUGAAUAUGUCAUAUUUUGUGUAUCCAUUCACUUGUAGAUGGACUUAAGCCUCCAGUUUGGGGCUACUAUGGAAAAAGCUAUUACUCAUUUACAAGUCAUUGUAUAGAUAUAUGUUUUCAUUUCUUUUGGGUUAAAUGCCUAGGAAUGGAUUUUCUGGGUCAUAGGUAAGAUGAAUGUUUAAUCUUAUAAGAAACUUCCAAACAUUUUCCAAACCAGCCGGAACACUGCCACUGGCAAAG
Molecule: long non-coding RNA, 1418 nt
Organism: Acinonyx jubatus (cheetah)
Lineage: Eukaryota; Metazoa; Chordata; Mammalia; Carnivora; Felidae
Exons: 4
Source: RefSeq, a predicted model, not a curated record